This 404-nucleotide ribosomal RNA is filed under the name uncultured bacterium. Its description in RNAcentral is "bacterial SSU rRNA". It matches the Rfam family "Bacterial small subunit ribosomal RNA", at positions 355 to 776 of the family's 1533-position model. The record is from RNAcentral.
UGGGGAAUAUUGGACAAUGGGCGAAAGCCUGAUCCAGCCAUGCCGCGUGAAUGAUGAAGGCCUUAGGGUUGUAAAGUUCUUUUGUCAGGGAAGAUAAUGACGGUACCUGAAGAAUAAGCACCGGCUAACUUCGUGCCAGCAGCCGCGGUAAUACGAAGGGUGCUAGCGUUGUUCGGAAUUACUGGGCGUAAAGCGCGCGUAGGCGGUCUAUCAAGUCAGGGGUGAAAUCCUUGGGCUCAACCCAAGAAUUGCCCUUGAAACUGAUAGACUAGAGUGUCGGAGGGGAUAGCGGAAUUCCUAAUGUAGAGGUGAAAUUCGUAGAUAUUAGGAGGAACACCGGUGGCGAAGGCGGCUAUCUGGACGACAACUGACGCUGAGGCGCGAAAGCACGGGGAUCAAACAGG